GAUGAACGCUGGCGGCGUGCCUAAUACAUGCAAGUCGAGCGAACAGACGAGGAGCUUGCUCCUCUGACGUUAGCGGCGGACGGGUGAGUAACACGUGGAUAACCUACCUAUAAGACUGGGAUAACUUCGGGAAACCGGAGCUAAUACCGGAUAAUAUAUUGAACCGCAUGGUUCAAUAGUGAAAGACGGUUUUGCUGUCACUUAUAGAUGGAUCCGCGCCGCAUUAGCUAGUGGUAAGGUAACGGCUUACCAAGGCAACGAUGCGUAGCCGACCUGAGAGGGUGAUAGGCACCAUUGGAAAUGAGCCACGGUCCAGACGCCGACGGGAGGAAGCAGAAGGGAAUCGUCCGAAAGGGACGAAAGCCGGACGGAGCAACGCCGCGGGAGUGAGGAAGGUGUUCGGAUCGUAAAACUCUUUUAUUAGGGAAAAAAAAAUGUUAAAGUAACUAUGCGCGUCUUGACGGUACCUAAUCAGAAAGCCACGGCUAACUACGUG
Molecule: ribosomal RNA, 496 nt
Filed under: uncultured bacterium
Lineage: Bacteria
Description: partial 16S ribosomal RNA
Rfam family: Bacterial small subunit ribosomal RNA
Source: RNAcentral